CCGUGCUAGGCGGGGAGCUAGCGGUGCCCUGUACCCGCAAUCCGCUACAGCGGGGCUUAAUUCCCGUCCGAGGGGCCGGUCCCAGGGCUCGGUUCCGUUCAGAGCAGCGUCGAUGGCGAGGUCCCAUUCGGUGGACGACCGCGAAUCAGGUCAGGUCCGGAAGGAAGCAGCCUUAAGCGGACCCGUUCACGCGCAGUGGGGUCACCUCGCCGGAGCCAGCGGUGCGGAACUCACCUUGGAAUCGCGCAACGACGACGGGUGCACGG
This 266-nucleotide signal recognition particle RNA is filed under the name Thermoleophilia bacterium. RNAcentral's name for it is "signal recognition particle sRNA large type". It matches the Rfam family "Bacterial large signal recognition particle RNA". From Rfam's summary of the family: The signal recognition particle (SRP) is a universally conserved ribonucleoprotein involved in the co-translational targeting of proteins to membranes. Archaeal SRP consists of a 7S RNA and homologues of the eukaryotic SRP19 and SRP54 proteins. Lineage: Bacteria; Bacillati; Actinomycetota; Thermoleophilia. The record is from RNAcentral.